Molecule: RNase P RNA, 383 nt
Filed under: Muribaculaceae bacterium
Lineage: Bacteria; Pseudomonadati; Bacteroidota; Bacteroidia; Bacteroidales; Muribaculaceae
Description: RNase P RNA component class A
Rfam family: Bacterial RNase P class A
About the family: Ribonuclease P (RNase P) is a ubiquitous endoribonuclease, found in archaea, bacteria and eukarya as well as chloroplasts and mitochondria.
Source: RNAcentral
UCAGUAUGGUGGCUUGUCGCUCAUUUCCUUAAUUGAGAAAUGGGAGGAAAGUCCGGGCAACACAGAGCAUCGCAUUUCCUAACGGGAAGCCAGAGGUGACUUUGGGGUUUAAGGUGACAGAAAACAACCGCCAUGAUUCCUGUGAAGAUCAUGGUAAGGGUGAAAAGGUGAGGUAAGAGCUCACCAGGCGCGACGGCGACAUUGCGUGCUGCACCACCUGCGAGUUGCAAGGUCAAGUAUAUCGGCGCAAAGGGGCUGCUCGUCCUGCCGAGGGGUGGACUGCUAUACUGCUGUGGCAACAUUGCAGAGAGAUAAAUGACAGGCGGCCAGUGGUGCCAGAGUGCCAUUGGUUACAUAACCCGGCUUACAGCCAUACUGCUGAU